UCCAUAUCCAAAGAGAACACGAUGUGGAUUGUUGACCUCCUGUAGGUGGCUCCUGACCAAGCAAGCCUAUGGUAAACAAGUGUGCAGGAUUCAGGUUCUGUAUUUGGCUCACAAAUCCCUCCGUUCUGCUGCUUACUCAUUUUGAAAUCCACUGCUCAGGAAGAUGUGUGUCUGGGGCAGAGUCUGCUAGACAGGACAGGAGUGAGCACAGAGGAGUGCUAGUCCCACCCUCACUUUCUGAACUUUGUCCCAGCCUGUGCUUCUGCCAGGACAAAGAUGAUGCUGCAGCCAGACAGGAUUAUGUUCUGGAUAGUAUGGGGACCCCUAGUGGUCUUUUUU
Hyla sarda is the source of this 339-nucleotide long non-coding RNA. RefSeq lists it as uncharacterized. The record is from RefSeq and is a predicted model, not a curated record. The transcript has 3 exons. Lineage: Eukaryota; Metazoa; Chordata; Amphibia; Anura; Hylidae.